GGGGGGAGGCCGUAUCCUGGGCUGUGUCCCCGGCGCCCUGUGCUCCCGGGCCUGCGCUGUUGGAAUUGCGCUCGCGGCUGUGCAGCCCCCU
This 91-nucleotide microRNA precursor is filed under the name Canis lupus familiaris (dog). Its description in RNAcentral is "mir-8799 microRNA precursor family". It matches the Rfam family "mir-8799 microRNA precursor family". RNAcentral also lists the same sequence under 1 other name. Lineage: Eukaryota; Metazoa; Chordata; Mammalia; Carnivora; Canidae. The record is from Rfam by way of RNAcentral.